RNAcentral lists this ribosomal RNA (195 nucleotides) under uncultured Neisseriales bacterium. RNAcentral describes it as "partial 16S ribosomal RNA". It matches the Rfam family "Bacterial small subunit ribosomal RNA", at positions 140 to 334 of the family's 1533-position model. Lineage: Bacteria; Pseudomonadati; Pseudomonadota; Betaproteobacteria; Neisseriales. The record is from RNAcentral.
GGGAUAACCAAACGAAAGUUUGGCUAAUACCGCGUAAGCUCCAAGGAGGAAAGUAGGGGACCUAAAUAAGGCCUUACGCUAUUUGAUCGGCCGAUGUCGGAUUAGCUAGUUGAUGGGGUAAUGGCUCACCAAGGCAAUGAUCCGUAGCGGGUCUGAGAGGACGAUCCGCCACACUGGGACUGAGACACGGCCCAG